This 616-nucleotide ribosomal RNA is filed under the name Burkholderia sp. IBa291. RNAcentral describes it as "bacterial SSU rRNA". It matches the Rfam family "Bacterial small subunit ribosomal RNA", at positions 391 to 1000 of the family's 1533-position model. The record is from RNAcentral. RNAcentral also lists the same sequence under 1 other name. Lineage: Bacteria; Pseudomonadati; Pseudomonadota; Betaproteobacteria; Burkholderiales; Burkholderiaceae.
GCAAUGCCGCGUGUGUGAAGAAGGCCUUCGGGUUGUAAAGCACUUUUGUCCGGAAAGAAAUCCUUGGCUCUAAUACAGUCGGGGGAUGACGGUACCGGAAGAAUAAGCACCGGCUAACUACGUGCCAGCAGCCGCGGUAAUACGUAGGGUGCGAGCGUUAAUCGGAAUUACUGGGCGUAAAGCGUGCGCAGGCGGUUUGCUAAGACCGAUGUGAAAUCCCCGGGCUCAACCUGGGAACUGCAUUGGUGACUGGCAGGCUAGAGUAUGGCAGAGGGGGGUAGAAUUCCACGUGUAGCAGUGAAAUGCGUAGAGAUGUGGAGGAAUACCGAUGGCGAAGGCAGCCCCCUGGGCCAAUACUGACGCUCAUGCACGAAAGCGUGGGGAGCAAACAGGAUUAGAUACCCUGGUAGUCCACGCCCUAAACGAUGUCAACUAGUUGUUGGGGAUUCAUUUCCUUAGUAACGUAGCUAACGCGUGAAGUUGACCGCCUGGGGAGUACGGUCGCAAGAUUAAAACUCAAAGGAAUUGACGGGGACCCGCACAAGCGGUGGAUGAUGUGGAUUAAUUCGAUGCAACGCGAAAAACCUUACCUACCCUUGACAUGGUCGGAAUCCUG